AACCGGCGCACGGGUGAGUAACACGUAUGCAACCUGCCCGUCUCAGGGGGAUAAUCGUCGGAAACGGCGUCUAAUACCCCGUAUGAAGCUGGACGGCAUCGUCUGGUUUUGAAAGAAUAUCGGAGACGGAUGGGCAUGCGGCGCAUUAGCUAGUUGGCGGGGUAACGGCCCACCAAGGCGACGAUGCGUAGGGGUUCUGAGAGGAAGGUCCCCCACACUGGUACUGAGACACGGACCAGACUCCUACGGAAGGCAGCAG
Molecule: ribosomal RNA, 259 nt
Filed under: uncultured bacterium
Lineage: Bacteria
Description: partial 16S ribosomal RNA
Rfam family: Bacterial small subunit ribosomal RNA
Source: RNAcentral